Molecule: long non-coding RNA, 619 nt
Organism: Solanum tuberosum (potato)
Lineage: Eukaryota; Viridiplantae; Streptophyta; Magnoliopsida; Solanales; Solanaceae
Exons: 3
Source: RefSeq, a predicted model, not a curated record
AAGUACAAACUCAUUUGGGUUUAUUAUCCAAAUCCACCAAGUACAAAACAAAAAGGACACAUGCCCAUUCCGGACAUCCGCCUUUGUCGCUCUAUUAGUCUUGGCUUGUCUAGGAUUUUCUAUUUCAAAUCCUUCUUUCCAUUUCCUAAAAACCCUCUCCACCUGAGAAAUGUUGUCGUCGUGGACCGACCCUAGUCUCCACUUGCUUUAGCUUUGGAUCAUCAACCAGCUGGAGUUGAUGUUCUUUCUUGGUCUUAUAUCAGCUAUCAUGAUUGGGUUUUAUGGGUUAUGCUCAUUGUUUUUGUUGAUGGAUCUAGUCCAAUGGAGGGUUACUUCUUCACUUGGUGGUUCCGAAAUGGGUAGCUCUGAUCCACCGCCUAGGAUAAGUGUUGCAAGCUUCUUCCAGAUUUAACAGUCUGACUGACCCCAGAUCUUCCCAUUUUGUUAGUUGUAAUAGCUUAGGCUAGAUAGCAUUUCACUAACUUUGACACCAUCCUGACCUUUGUAAAUGUCGUGAAUGUGAAAAACAUCAUGGUGUAGCCUCCCCUGCCCUAAAAUCCUCGCGCUGGUAAUACUCUUAUAUAGGGGCAAUUUAAUUUAUCGCUAUUUAUAAUUUCUA